This 76-nucleotide transfer RNA is filed under the name Hydrogenophilus thermoluteolus. RNAcentral describes it as "tRNA-Phe". It matches the Rfam family "tRNA". Rfam says of the family: Transfer RNA (tRNA) molecules are approximately 80 nucleotides in length. Their secondary structure includes four short double-helical elements and three loops (D, anti-codon, and T loops). Further hydrogen bonds mediate the characteristic L-shaped molecular structure. tRNAs have two regions of fundamental functional importance: the anti-codon, which is responsible for specific mRNA codon recognition, and the 3' end, to which the tRNAs corresponding amino acid is attached (by aminoacyl-tRNA synthetases). tRNAs cope with the degeneracy of the genetic code in two manners: having more than one tRNA (with a specific anti-codon) for a particular amino acid; and 'wobble' base-pairing, i.e. permitting non-standard base-pairing at the 3rd anti-codon position. The record is from RNAcentral. RNAcentral also lists the same sequence under 16 other names. Lineage: Bacteria; Pseudomonadati; Pseudomonadota; Hydrogenophilia; Hydrogenophilales; Hydrogenophilaceae.
GGCCAGGUAGCUCAGUCGGUAGAGCAGCGGACUGAAAAUCCGCGUGUCGGUGGUUCGAUUCCGCCCCUGGCCACCA